RNAcentral lists this unclassified non-coding RNA (430 nucleotides) under soil metagenome. Its description in RNAcentral is "partial contains 5.8S ribosomal RNA, internal transcribed spacer 2, and large subunit ribosomal RNA". The stretch from base 1 to 120 matches the Rfam family "5.8S ribosomal RNA", at positions 35 to 154 of the family's 154-position model. The record is from RNAcentral.
GAUGAAGAACGCAGCGAAAUGCGAUACGUAAUGUGAAUUGCAGAAUUCAGUGAAUCAUCGAAUCUUUGAACGCAUAUUGCGCUCUCUGGUAUUCCGGAGAGCAUGCUUGUUUGAGUAUCAGUAAACACCUCAACUCCCUUUUCUUUUUUGAAAUUGGAGCUGGACUUGAGUGAUCCCAACGCUUUCUUCCAAGAAAGUGGCGGGUUGCUUGAAAUGCAGGUGCAGCUGAACUUUUCUCUGAGCUAUAAGCAUAUCUAUUUAGUCUGCCUAAAAAACAGAUUAUUACCUUUGCUGCAGCUAACAUAAAGGAGACUAGUUCUUGUGCUGACUGAUGCAGGAUUCACAGAGACCGCUUCGGCUGACUUUGUAAACUCGAUCUCAAAUCAAGUAAGACUACCCGCUGAACUUAAGCAUAUCAAUAAGCGGAGGA